AGAGUUUGAUCAUGGCUCAGGAUGAACGCUGGCGGCGUGCCUAACACAUGCAAGUCGAACGGAAUUUACAUGAAGCCUAGCGAUUGUAAAUUUAGUGGCGGACGGGUGAGUAACGCGUGGGUAACCUGCCUUGUACUGGGGGACAACAGUUGGAAACGACUGCUAAUACCGCAUAAAGCGCACAGCUUCGCAUGAAGCAGUGUGAAAAACUCCGGUGGUACAAGAUGGACCCGCGUCUGAUUAGCUGGUUGGUGAGGUAACGGCCACCAAGGCGACGAUCAGUAGCCGGCCUGAGAGGGUGAACGGCCACAUUGGGACUGAGACACGGCCCAAACUCCUACGGGAGCA
Molecule: ribosomal RNA, 348 nt
Filed under: uncultured bacterium
Lineage: Bacteria
Description: bacterial SSU rRNA
Rfam family: Bacterial small subunit ribosomal RNA
Source: RNAcentral